GUGUGUUUUAACUCAGGAAAAUCUACUUUCUUUGUUUCAUGUAUUCAGUAUUUGCUCUUUUCCUACUUCCUGAGGAAUCUGCCUGGUUUAUAUAUAAACACCUUAAGAGUAGAGCCUUUGUAUUCUUGUUCAGCGACUAAGUGUUCGACUCAGUUAGGGAUGCAAAUAUCUGUUGAAUUGAUGAAUGUAAAUUGGAGUAGAUGAUGAUGUGUUGGUUGUCUUGUUUGACAAGAGUAUUGCAGUUCUAUUUAAUGAUUCAUUUAAGGACAAAACUUAAUGGACAGUGCUGUUUUGACACUGUCAGUUGUUACAUGUUACUGUGUGUACACUUGUAAAGUUUUAUUGACAUUACUUUUUCUUUUUUGCUAGACUGAAUGCAUUUCUUGUGGUCUUAUUUAUUGUUGAUUAAGGGGUAGGGACCACCUCUGUAAGCAUAAUGUUCAGAAUAGUUGGUUAACUAAAUAAGUUUAAAAACUACUAAACUGUUUAAUGUACAUGACUUGGUAUAUGUGUAUGAGUCUCCUUGCAUUUAUUUGGCAGAGAAACUAAAACAUGGGAGUGAGGAUAUGGCAGAGUUCCUCUCUAUAUACAUACAUGUAGAAGAACUUAGCUAAUUUGUUUACA
RNAcentral lists this long non-coding RNA (624 nucleotides) under Marmota monax (woodchuck). The record is from RNAcentral. Lineage: Eukaryota; Metazoa; Chordata; Mammalia; Rodentia; Sciuridae.